UAAACACCGGAGGCGGCAACUUUUACAAAUGCAUGGAUGAAGACGUAAAGCGUCUCAUAAUGAGCAGGAUGGCCAAUGGGCAUCUCUUCUCUGGGCGCAGGAACGCAGCCCUGUUUGGAUGGGAAACUGUUCUGAAAGAGAUGGGGUUGCUUGGUGUGGUAACCCCUGCCACAAAGUGGGAAAAAUUUAACCUACAAGAGCACAAGUUUGAGACCACUUAAGGGAGCUAAGGAAGCCACCCACCCACCUCAUGGACUGCACCAGAUUUGCCAGUUCUUGCUCCAAGGCACUUGCAAGUUCCUGGACAUUUCUGGGGGGAAUGGCCCUAACCCUCACCCUCCGUUCC
Xyrauchen texanus (razorback sucker) is the source of this 346-nucleotide long non-coding RNA. RefSeq lists it as uncharacterized. NCBI's taxonomy places the organism in Eukaryota, Metazoa, Chordata, Actinopteri, Cypriniformes, Catostomidae. The transcript has 5 exons. The record is from RefSeq and is a predicted model, not a curated record.